This 405-nucleotide ribosomal RNA is filed under the name Salmonella enterica. RNAcentral's name for it is "bacterial LSU rRNA". It matches the Rfam family "Bacterial large subunit ribosomal RNA", at positions 454 to 722 of the family's 2925-position model. Lineage: Bacteria; Pseudomonadati; Pseudomonadota; Gammaproteobacteria; Enterobacterales; Enterobacteriaceae. The record is from RNAcentral.
CAUCCUCCAAGGCUAAAUACUCCUGACUGACCGAUAGUGAACCAGUACCGUGAGGGAAAGGCGAAAAGAACCCCGGCGAGGGGAGUGAAAAAGAACCUGAAACCGUGUACGUACAAGCAGUGGGAGCCCCACCACCAAAGCAUUUGCUGUACCGCGUUGACGGAGCGAAGCGACGUCAAACCGAUAAAACAGCAGUGUAAAGUGAGCCGCAGGGCGCUUUGCGCGACAGCGCAAAGGCAGGCGGUUUCGCGUAGCGAAAGCGAAUGCUUUGGGGUGGGGUGACUGCGUACCUUUUGUAUAAUGGGUCAGCGACUUAUAUUCUGUAGCAAGGGUAACCGAAUAGGGGAGCCGGAGGGAAACCGAGUCUUAAUUGGGCGUUAAGUUGCAGGGUAUAGACCCGAAACC